ACCUGGUUGAUCCUGCCAGUAGUCAUAUGCUUGUCUUAAAGAUUAAGCCAUGCAUGUCUAAGUAUAAGCUUUUAUUAUACGGCGAAACUGCGAAUGGCUCAUUAAAACAGUUAUAGUUUAUUUGAUAGUCAAUAUAAUACUACAUGGAUAACCGUGGUAAUUCUAUGGCUAAUACAUGCGCAAAUACUAUAUCACUCGGGGGUAUAGUAGUGUUUAUUAGAUACAGAACCAAUACACCUUUUUUAAAGGGUGUAGAAAAAGGUGAUUCAUAGUAACCGAACGGAUCGCAUUAUAAUCAUUUCGAUGAUUGGCGAUAGAUCAUUCAAGUUUCUGACCUAUCAGCUUUCGACGGUAGUGUAUUGGACUACCGUGGCAGUGACGGGUAACGGGGAAUUAGGGUUCGAUUCCGGAGAGGGAGCCUGAGAAACGGCUACCACAUCUAAGGAAGGCAGCAGGCGCGCCCAAUCCUGACUCAGGAAGGUAGUGACAAGAAAUAACAACACCGGAACUUCUAUUUCUAGUGAUUGGAAUGAUGGGAAUCCGAACCUCCUUCAGCGUAACAACUGGAGGGCAAUUGUGGUGCCAGCAGCCGCGCUAAUUCCAGCUCCAACAGCGUAUAUUAAAGUUGUUGCAGUUAAAAAGCACGUAGUUGGAUAUCUGCUGGAAGCGAUCAGUCCGCCCUUUUAAUGAGGGUGUGCAUUUGAUGAAUUCCGGCAUGGUCUUCCCAAUGAUAAUAUUACUAUAUUAGGUUAAUUGCUAAUAUAGUAGUAAUUAUUGGGACGACAGUUACUUUGAGGAAAUUAGUGUGUUUGAAGCAGGCUUGUUGCCUUGAAUACUGCAGCAUGGAAUAACAAUAUAGGAUUUCGGUUCUAUUUUGUUGGUUUCUAGAACUGAAAUAAUGAUUAAUAGGGACAAUUGGAGGCAUUCGUAUUUAACUGUCAGAGGUGGAAUUCUUAGAUUUGUCAAAGACGAACUACUGCGAAAGCAUUUGCCAAAGAUGUUUUCAUUAAUCAAGAACGAAAGCUAGGGGCUCGAAGACGAUCAG
RNAcentral lists this ribosomal RNA (1045 nucleotides) under Sarcocystis fusiformis. Its description in RNAcentral is "bacterial SSU rRNA". It matches the Rfam family "Eukaryotic small subunit ribosomal RNA", at positions 1 to 1011 of the family's 1831-position model. Lineage: Eukaryota; Apicomplexa; Conoidasida; Eucoccidiorida; Sarcocystidae. The record is from RNAcentral.